AGUGAACGCUGGCGGUAGGCCUAACACAUGCCAGUCGAACGGCAGCACAGUAAGAGCUUGCUCUUACGGGUGGCGAGUGGCGGACGGGUGAGGAAUACAUCGGAAUCUACUUUUUCGUGGGGGAUAACGUAGGGAAACUUACGCUAAUACCGCAUACGACCUACGGGUGAAAGCAGGGGAUCUUCGGACCUUGCGCGAUUGAAUGAGCCGAUGUCGGAUUAGCUAGUUGGCGGGGUAAAGGCCCACCAAGGCGACGAUCCGUAGCUGGUCUGAGAGGAUGAUCAGCCACACUGGAACUGAGACACGGUUCAGACUCCUACGGGAGGCAGCAGUGGGGAAUAUUGGACAAUGGGCGCAAGCCUGAUCCAGCCAUACCGCGUGGGUGAAGAAGGCCUUCGGGUUGUAAAGCCCUUUUGUUGGGAAAGAAAAGCAGCAGGUUAAUACCCCGCUGUUCUGACGGUACCCAAAGAAUAAGCACCGGCUAACUUCGUG
Molecule: ribosomal RNA, 492 nt
Filed under: uncultured bacterium
Lineage: Bacteria
Description: partial 16S ribosomal RNA
Rfam family: Bacterial small subunit ribosomal RNA
Source: RNAcentral